Molecule: ribosomal RNA, 630 nt
Filed under: Bactrodesmium pallidum
Lineage: Eukaryota; Fungi; Ascomycota
Description: eukaryotic LSU rRNA
Rfam family: 5.8S ribosomal RNA (bases 211-363)
Source: RNAcentral
ACAAGGUCUCCGUUGGUGAACCAGCGGAGGGAUCAUUACCGGGUCAAACGACUGCCCAAACCAAAACCGUGCACCGUACCAAAUUUCCGCUGCGGCGGGCCGCUCGCUGGGGGAGCCCGGGGCCGAAAGGCUGGCCUGCCGAAGCGACAGUUCUGAAUCACAUCAUAAAACUGUUCCGAGAGGUUUUUAUGCCUUUUAAUAGGUUGUCACAACCCACAACAAUGGAUCUCUUGGCUCCGGCAUCGAUGAAGAACGCAGCGAAAUGCGAUACGUAAUACGAAUUGCAGAUUCAGUGAAUCAUCGAGUCUUUGAACGCAUAUUGCGCCUCCUGGCACUCCAGGAGGCCUGUCCGACCGAGCGCCGUUUCACCGCUCGGGGUCCGUCUGGGAGUUCGUCUCCUAGCCUCCCCGGUGUUGGGGCAUGCCUUGCGGCAGCCCCCAAAUCCAGCGGCGGCCGCCUAGCGGUUCCCAAGGUGCAGUAAAAUGCCGCCUCGAGAGCCCGGGAAGGCCCGCCUAAACGGAGCGUUCAGGUUCAGCUUUUAAGUAAGCCUCGCCCGCGCCCACACCUUCUGGUUGGCCUCGGGUCGGACAAGAUUACCCGCUGAACUUAAGCAUAUCAAUAAAGGGGGAA